UUGAACGCUGGCGGCAGGCCUAACACAUGCAAGUCGAGCGGCAGCGCGGGGCAACCUGGCGGCGAGCGGCGGACGGGUGAGUAACGCGUAGGAAUCUACCCAGUAGCGGGGGAUAGACCGGGGAAACUCGGAUUAAUACCGCAUACGCCCUAAGGGGGAAAGCAGGGGAUCGUAAGACCUUGCACUAUUGGACGAGUCUGCGUUGGAUUAGCUAGUUGGUAGGGUAAAGGCCUACCAAGGCGACGAUCCAUAACUGGUCUGAGAGGAUGAUCAGUCACACCGGAACUGAGACACGGUCCGGACUCCUACGGGAGGCAGCAGUGGGGAAUAUUGGACAAUGGGGGCAACCCUGAUCCAGCCAUGCCGCGUGUGUGAAGAGGGCCUUCGGGUUGUAAAGCACUUUAAGUGGGGAGAAAGGUUCGGCAGCUAAUACCUGCCGGAAGUGAUGUUACCCACAGAAUAAGCACCGGCUAACUCUGUGCCAGCCGCCGCAGUAA
RNAcentral lists this ribosomal RNA (497 nucleotides) under uncultured bacterium. RNAcentral describes it as "partial 16S ribosomal RNA". It matches the Rfam family "Bacterial small subunit ribosomal RNA", at positions 29 to 523 of the family's 1533-position model. The record is from RNAcentral.